GACGAACGCUGGCGGCGUGCUUAACACAUGCAAGUCGUACGGUAAGGCCCUUUCGGGGGUACACGAGUGGCGAACGGGUGCGUAACACGUGAGUAACCUGCCCACAACUUUGGGAUAACGCUAGGAAACUGGUGCUAAUACUGGAAAUGUGCCCCUGCUGCAUGGGGGGGGUUGGAAAGCUCCGGCGGGUGUGGAUGGACUCGCGGCCUAUCAGCUUGUUGGUGGGGUAGUGGCCUACCAAGGCGGCGACGGGUAGCCGGCCUGAGAGGGUGACCGGCGACAUUGGGACUGAGAUACGGCCCAGACUCCUACGGGGGGCAGCAGUGGGGAAUAUUGCACAAUGGGCGCCAGCCUGAUGCAGCAACGCCGCGUGCGGGAUGACGGCCUUCGGGUUGUAAACCGCUUUCAGCAGGGACGAAGCUUUUUGUGACGGUACCUGCAGAAGAAGCACCGGCUAACUACGUG
This 465-nucleotide ribosomal RNA is filed under the name uncultured bacterium. RNAcentral describes it as "partial 16S ribosomal RNA". It matches the Rfam family "Bacterial small subunit ribosomal RNA", at positions 28 to 507 of the family's 1533-position model. The record is from RNAcentral.